Molecule: unclassified non-coding RNA, 87 nt
Filed under: Pseudomonas fragi
Lineage: Bacteria; Pseudomonadati; Pseudomonadota; Gammaproteobacteria; Pseudomonadales; Pseudomonadaceae
Source: RNAcentral
UGUGGGAGCGGGCUUGCUCGCGAUUGGAGCAAUGCGGUUUACCUGAAAAACCGUAGCGCCUGCAUCGCGAGCAAGCCCGCUCCCACA